RNAcentral lists this long non-coding RNA (676 nucleotides) under Homo sapiens (human). RNAcentral's name for it is "HSALNT0119485". The record is from RNAcentral. Lineage: Eukaryota; Metazoa; Chordata; Mammalia; Primates; Hominidae.
CCCGAAACCAGAAGAGGGCGUAUGGCUAGAGUUUCACCCUAAGAAGAAAGGGGAAGCAGGUGGAAAAGCAAUUAAAAAAAAAUCAGCAUCUCUCUCUAGCCUAUUAUCUCCUGUUAGACACAGCCCAGAAAAUGAAUAGAGACAAGUCCUGGCUGGGUCUGGGUUCAGAAACAUAAUAGAAGGAUUCAUCUAAUCUGUCGGCCACUGUGGAGGAAGUGAACCUUCUAGAUCCUGCUGACUCAUACAAUGAGUUUUGUGUGGACCAUCAGACAAAAGGGCUGGCUGGUGAAGGUGGCUGUUGUCUGGAAAUUCCUCCCAGCUCUCCUCUAAUUAUGUCAUAAGGACUGGAGGCCCCUUAGCCUGCUUGUGGAUAACACGCAAGGAAAUAUGGGCCAACUCUUCACAUGAACACAAGAUAUUUCCAUGCUAGCCUUUUGCAAGUAACAACAGAGAGAGCUCUGUGCAGUUUUCACUGGAAUGCCUGUGGAUUGCUUGUGUCAUAACUGUAAUCUAAAGAGUUGUCCAUUUGUUGAUUCCUUUGUAUUUGUAUUGGUAGAAUUGCCACUAUCAAACCAAGAUCUUUAGCUGCCUUUGUAUCAACUUCUUUGGAGCUUAUGUGAUUUUCCAGAAAAUUUCCAAGGCAUAGUUUUGUCCCUAAGUCCCAUGAAUAUGUAAU